GCUGGCGGUAUGCUUAAGACAUGCAAGUCGUGCGGUAGAAGGCUUCGGCCUUUGAGAGCGGCGGACGGGUGAGUAACACGUGGGAAUCUGCCUAUUAGUGGGGGACAGCCCAGCGAAAGCUGGAUUAAUACCGCAUACGCCCUACGGGGGAAAGCAGCAAUGCGCUAAUAGAUGAGCCCGCGUAAGAUUAGCUAGUUGGUAAGGUAAAGGCUUACCAAGGCGACGAUCUUUAGCUGGUCUGAGAGGAUGGCCAGCCACAUCGGGACUGAGACACGGCCCGGACUCCUACGGGAGGCAGCAGUCGGGAAUAUUGGACAAUGGGCGCAGGCCUGAUCCAGCAAUACCGCGUGUGUGAAGAAGGCCUGCGGGUUGUAAAGCACUUUCAGUUGGGAAGAUAAUGACGUUACCAACAGAAGAAGCACCGGCUAACUCCGUGCCAGCAGCCGCGGUAAUACGGAGGGUGCAAGCGUUAAUCGGAAUUACUGGGCGUAAAGCGUGCGUAGGCGGCCUGUUAAGUCAGAUGUGAAAGCCCCGGGCUUAACCUGGGAACUGCAUCUGAUACUGGGAGGCUAGAAUGUGGGAGAGGAGAGUGGAAUUUCCGGUGUAGCGGUGAAAUGCAUAGAGAUCGGAAGGAACACCAGUGGCGAAGGCGGCUCUCUGGACCAACAUUGACGCUGAGGCACGAAAGCGUGGGUAGCAAACAGGAUUAGAUACCCUGGUAGUCCACGCCGUAAACGAUGUCAACUAGCCGCCGGCCUCACUCUAGAGGUCGGUGGUGCAGCUAACGCAUUAAGUUGACCGCCUGGGGAGUAC
RNAcentral lists this ribosomal RNA (813 nucleotides) under uncultured Thiothrix sp. Its description in RNAcentral is "bacterial SSU rRNA". It matches the Rfam family "Bacterial small subunit ribosomal RNA", at positions 35 to 883 of the family's 1533-position model. The record is from RNAcentral. Lineage: Bacteria; Pseudomonadati; Pseudomonadota; Gammaproteobacteria; Thiotrichales; Thiotrichaceae.